This 610-nucleotide ribosomal RNA is filed under the name Marinobacter sp. RNAcentral's name for it is "bacterial SSU rRNA". It matches the Rfam family "Bacterial small subunit ribosomal RNA", at positions 44 to 644 of the family's 1533-position model. Lineage: Bacteria; Pseudomonadati; Pseudomonadota; Gammaproteobacteria; Pseudomonadales; Marinobacteraceae. The record is from RNAcentral.
GCGCAGCUUACCAUGCAAGUCGAGCGGUAACAGGGGGUGCUUGCACCCCGCUGACGAGCGGCGGACGGGUGAGUAAUGCAUAGGAAUCUGCCCAGUAGUGGGGGAUAGCCCGGGGAAACCCGGAUUAAUACCGCAUACGCCCUUUGGGGGAAAGCAGGGGAUCUUCGGACCUUGCGCUAUUGGAUGAGCCUAUGUCGGAUUAGCUAGUUGGUGGGGUAAAGGCCUACCAAGGCGACGAUCCGUAGCUGGUCUGAGAGGAUGAUCAGCCACAUCGGGACUGAGACACGGCCCGAACUCCUACGGGAGGCAGCAGUGGGGAAUAUUGGACAAUGGGGGCAACCCUGAUCCAGCCAUGCCGCGUGUGUGAAGAAGGCUUUCGGGUUGUAAAGCACUUUCAGUGAGGAGGAAAACCUUCUGGUUAAUACCCAUGAGGCUUGACGUUACUCACAGAAGAAGCACCGGCUAACUCCGUGCCAGCAGCCGCGGUAAUACGGAGGGUGCAAGCGUUAAUCGGAAUUACUGGGCGUAAAGCGCGCGUAGGUGGUUUGAUAAGCGAGAUGUGAAAGCCCCGGGCUUAACCUGGGAACGGCAUUUCGAACUGUCAGGCUAG